RNAcentral lists this ribosomal RNA (2590 nucleotides) under Escherichia coli. Its description in RNAcentral is "partial 23S ribosomal RNA". It matches the Rfam family "Bacterial large subunit ribosomal RNA", at positions 165 to 2779 of the family's 2925-position model. The record is from RNAcentral. Lineage: Bacteria; Pseudomonadati; Pseudomonadota; Gammaproteobacteria; Enterobacterales; Enterobacteriaceae.
CAUAGGUUAAUGAGGCGAACCGGGGGAACUGAAACAUCUAAGUACCCCGAGGAAAAGAAAUCAACCGAGAUUCCCCCAGUAGCGGCGAGCGAACGGGGAGCAGCCCAGAGCCUGAAUCAGUGUGUGUGUUAGUGGAAGCGUCUGGAAAGGCGCGCGAUACAGGGUGACAGCCCCGUACACAAAAAUGCACAUACUGUGAGCUCGAUGAGUAGGGCGGGACACGUGGUAUCCUGUCUGAAUAUGGGGGGACCAUCCUCCAAGGCUAAAUACUCCUGACUGACCGAUAGUGAACCAGUACCGUGAGGGAAAGGCGAAAAGAACCCCGGCGAGGGGAGUGAAAAAGAACCUGAAACCGUGUACGUACAAGCAGUGGGAGCACGCUUAGGCGUGUGACUGCGUACCUUUUGUAUAAUGGGUCAGCGACUUAUAUUCUGUAGCAAGGUUAACCGAAUAGGGGAGCCGAAGGGAAACCGAGUCUUAACUGGGCGUUAAGUUGCAGGGUAUAGACCCGAAACCCGGUGAUCUAGCCAUGGGCAGGUUGAAGGUUGGGUAACACUAACUGGAGGACCGAACCGACUAAUGUUGAAAAAUUAGCGGAUGACUUGUGGCUGGGGGUGAAAGGCCAAUCAAACCGGGAGAUAGCUGGUUCUCCCCGAAAGCUAUUUAGGUAGCGCCUCGUGAAUUCAUCUCCGGGGGUAGAGCACUGUUUCGGCAAGGGGGUCAUCCCGACUUACCAACCCGAUGCAAACUGCGAAUACCGGAGAAUGUUAUCACGGGAGACACACGGCGGGUGCUAACGUCCGUCGUGAAGAGGGAAACAACCCAGACCGCCAGCUAAGGUCCCAAAGUCAUGGUUAAGUGGGAAACGAUGUGGGAAGGCCCAGACAGCCAGGAUGUUGGCUUAGAAGCAGCCAUCAUUUAAAGAAAGCGUAAUAGCUCACUGGUCGAGUCGGCCUGCGCGGAAGAUGUAACGGGGCUAAACCAUGCACCGAAGCUGCGGCAGCGACGCUGAUGCGUUGUUGGGUAGGGGAGCGUUCUGUAAGCCUGUGAAGGUGUGCUGUGAGGCAUGCUGGAGGUAUCAGAAGUGCGAAUGCUGACAUAAGUAACGAUAAAGCGGGUGAAAAGCCCGCUCGCCGGAAGACCAAGGGUUCCUGUCCAACGUUAAUCGGGGCAGGGUGAGUCGACCCCUAAGGCGAGGCCGAAAGGCGUAGUCGAUGGGAAACAGGUUAAUAUUCCUGUACUUGGUGUUACUGCGAAGGGGGGACGGAGAAGGCUAUGUUGGCCGGGCGACGGUUGUCCCGGUUUAAGCGUGUAGGCUGGUUUUCCAGGCAAAUCCGGAAAACUAAGGCUGAGGCGUGAUGACGAGGCACUACGGUGCUGAAGCAACAAAUGCCCUGCUUCCAGGAAAAGCCUCUAAGCAUCAGGUAACAUCAAAUCGUACCCCAAACCGACACAGGUGGUCAGGUAGAGAAUACCAAGGCGCUUGAGAGAACUCGGGUGAAGGAACUAGGCAAAAUGGUGCCGUAACUUCGGGAGAAGGCACGCUGAUAUGUAGGUGAAGCGACUUGCUCGUGGAGCUGAAAUCAGUCGAAGAUACCAGCUGGCUGCAACUGUUUAUUAAAAACACAGCACUGUGCAAACACGAAAGUGGACGUAUACGGUGUGACGCCUGCCCGGUGCCGGAAGGUUAAUUGAUGGGGUCAGCGCAAGCGAAGCUCUUGAUCGAAGCCCCGGUAAACGGCGGCCGUAACUAUAACGGUCCUAAGGUAGCGAAAUUCCUUGUCGGGUAAGUUCCGACCUGCACGAAUGGCGUAAUGAUGGCCAGGCUGUCUCCACCCGAGACUCAGUGAAAUUGAACUCGCUGUGAAGAUGCAGUGUACCCGCGGCAAGACGGAAAGACCCCGUGAACCUUUACUAUAGCUUGACACUGAACAUUGAGCCUUGAUGUGUAGGAUAGGUGGGAGGCUUUGAAGUGUGGACGCCAGUCUGCAUGGAGCCGACCUUGAAAUACCACCCUUUAAUGUUUGAUGUUCUAACGUUGACCCGUGAUCCGGGUUGCGGACAGUGUCUGGUGGGUAGUUUGACUGGGGCGGUCUCCUCCUAAAGAGUAACGGAGGAGCACGAAGGUUGGCUAAUCCUGGUCGGACAUCAGGAGGUUAGUGCAAUGGCAUAAGCCAGCUUGACUGCGAGCGUGACGGCGCGAGCAGGUGCGAAAGCAGGUCAUAGUGAUCCGGUGGUUCUGAAUGGAAGGGCCAUCGCUCAACGGAUAAAAGGUACUCCGGGGAUAACAGGCUGAUACCGCCCAAGAGUUCAUAUCGACGGCGGUGUUUGGCACCUCGAUGUCGGCUCAUCACAUCCUGGGGCUGAAGUAGGUCCCAAGGGUAUGGCUGUUCGCCAUUUAAAGUGGUACGCGAGCUGGGUUUAGAACGUCGUGAGACAGUUCGGUCCCUAUCUGCCGUGGGCGCUGGAGAACUGAGGGGGGCUGCUCCUAGUACGAGAGGACCGGAGUGGACGCAUCACUGGUGUUCGGGUUGUCAUGCCAAUGGCACUGCCCGGUAGCUAAAUGCGGAAGAGAUAAGUGCUGAAAGCA